This 21-nucleotide non-coding RNA is filed under the name Caenorhabditis elegans. The record is from RNAcentral. Lineage: Eukaryota; Metazoa; Nematoda; Chromadorea; Rhabditida; Rhabditidae.
UGUCAGUUUUGAAUUAACAGU